UAAGCACCGCUACUGUGCCGCAUCGGUCACGUUCCGAAUCACUGGUUUAAGGGUGCGAGGCGGCGAGCAUUGUGAACCCGGCACCGGGGUGACUCCUGAAUCGGUGAGGCGGCGAUGUGAUGUGGGGAAAUGCUUAUAUAUAGACACCAUUGCGAAGGCAGCUGCUGGGUUUGACGCUGAGGCACAAAGCGGGGGAGCAAACAGGAUUAAUACCCUGGUAGUCCCGCCCUAACUGUUUACUUGCUGUUCUGUGUGGCGGAAAGCGCUAAGAAACACCUGGGGGUACGCCGCAACGGUGAAACUCAAAGGCACAAGUUUAUCGCGGAGAACUUACCUGGCUAGGAUAAAGGCGCAGGUCUGCAUGGCUUUCAGCUCGUGUCGUGAGAUGUGGGUUAAGUCCCCAACGACGCACCCCCGCUCCAAUUGCACGGACUUUGGCGGACUGCCGGC
RNAcentral lists this ribosomal RNA (450 nucleotides) under uncultured bacterium. RNAcentral's name for it is "partial 16S ribosomal RNA". It matches the Rfam family "Bacterial small subunit ribosomal RNA", at positions 498 to 1156 of the family's 1533-position model. The record is from RNAcentral.